UACGAAGGGGGCUAGCGUUGUUCGGAUUUACUGGGCGUAAAGCGCGUGUAGGCGGGCUGGAAAGUUGGGGAUGAAAUCCCGAGGCUCAACCUCGGAACUGCCUCCAAAACUUCCAGCCUGGACUCAAGUAGAGGCAAGUGGAAUUGCGAGUGUAGAGGUGAAAUUCGUAGAUAUUCGCAGGAACACCAGUGGCGAAGGCGACUUGCUGGACUUGUAGUGACGCUGAGACGCGAAAGCGUGGGGAGCAAACAGG
Molecule: ribosomal RNA, 253 nt
Filed under: uncultured bacterium
Lineage: Bacteria
Description: partial 16S ribosomal RNA
Rfam family: Bacterial small subunit ribosomal RNA
Source: RNAcentral